Molecule: long non-coding RNA, 340 nt
Filed under: Mytilus galloprovincialis (Mediterranean mussel)
Lineage: Eukaryota; Metazoa; Mollusca; Bivalvia; Mytilida; Mytilidae
Source: RNAcentral
GAAGGAUUGUACGGUGUACAUGUCCAACUGGCAGGUGUCAUCUGACCUUGACCUCAUUUUGAUGGUUCAGUGGUUAUAGUUAAAUUUUUGUGUUUUGGUCUGUUUUUCUCAUACUAUAUGCAAUAGGUCUACUAUAUUUGUUGUAUGGAAUGAUUGUAAGGUGUACCUAUCUAGCGGGCAUAUGUCAUGUGACCUUGACCUCAUUUUCAUGGUUCAGUGGUCAAAGUUAAGUUUUUGAGUUUUGGUCUUUUUAUCUAAUACUAUAUGCCAUAGGUCAUCUAUAUUUGGUGUAUGGAAAUAUUUUAUUAUCUUUAUGUCAGUCGCGCAGGUUUUAUUUGAC